RNAcentral lists this long non-coding RNA (145 nucleotides) under Ictidomys tridecemlineatus (thirteen-lined ground squirrel). RNAcentral's name for it is "lncRNA (ENSSTOG00000029349.1)". The record is from RNAcentral. Lineage: Eukaryota; Metazoa; Chordata; Mammalia; Rodentia; Sciuridae.
GGAGAAUCAGAAUUGUCAUGCCAAAGAAUGAAAACCAAGCCUAGGGAGAAAAAGACAGUCUGAUGUUUAUAUGGGGUGCACAGCCUAAGAAGACCGACAGAGAAGGCUUGAUCAGCAUAAGCUGCAAUCAUCCUCUCUUUCCCCA